AUCCAGCUGACAAGUCCCAUAUAGGACGAAACGCGCGUCCAGGAU
Molecule: non-coding RNA, 45 nt
Filed under: Schistosoma curassoni
Lineage: Eukaryota; Metazoa; Platyhelminthes; Trematoda; Strigeidida; Schistosomatidae
Source: RNAcentral